This 83-nucleotide transfer RNA is filed under the name Gemmatimonadota bacterium. RNAcentral describes it as "Gemmatimonadetes bacterium (beach sand metagenome) tRNA-Ser". It matches the Rfam family "tRNA". From Rfam's summary of the family: Transfer RNA (tRNA) molecules are approximately 80 nucleotides in length. The record is from RNAcentral. Lineage: Bacteria; Pseudomonadati; Gemmatimonadota.
GGAGCGGUGGCAGAACGGCUAUUGCACUCGCCUCGAAAGCGAGCGUCCGAGAGGACUUGGGGGUUCGAAUCCCUCCCGCUCCG